RNAcentral lists this long non-coding RNA (1987 nucleotides) under Callithrix jacchus (white-tufted-ear marmoset). RNAcentral describes it as "lncRNA (ENSCJAG00000076020.1)". Lineage: Eukaryota; Metazoa; Chordata; Mammalia; Primates; Cebidae. The record is from RNAcentral.
AUGUGGGACUGUGUGCUCAGCCCUGAACCAAUCACUGUAGCAAAAAAAAAAAAAAAAAAUGUGGUUUUGCUAAUUAAAAUAGCCCUGAACCAUGUACAAGAGUUCAGUCUUCUUCUCACAAAACACAUGAAUUUGAAUUGGAGUGAUGAAAGAAAUCAGAUGAGGGACUCUAAAACUAGUUUAGAGAGAGAAGAUGGUAAGAAAAUCCGGUGGUGCCCAUUGGGACAGAAAGAAGAGAAUGGAUUUACAAGAUGUUUUAGAGGUAAAACAGACAGACCUUGGUGAUGAAUUUGAUUUGGAGUGAUGAGGAACACCCAGGGUUAGGUUGACUUUUGGUUUCUGGGUGGAUAAUCAAAGAUGAACCAGACUUUGGUAAUGGGAUUGAAAAGAGAGUCAUGAGUGCAAGUUUGGACAUGGACCCUUAGGUGCAGACUUUAGUUAGAAAAUAACUAAGGUCAGGCGGGGUGGCUCAUGCCUGUAAUCCCAGCACUCUGGGAAGUCGAAGUGAGCAGAUCACUUGAGCCCAGGAGUUGGGGACUAGCCUGGGCAACACAGCAAAACCUUAUCUCUACAAAAAAAUACAAAAUUAGCUGGAUGUGGUGGCAUGCACCUGUAGUCCCAGCUACUCAGGAAGCUGGGUGGGAGGAUCACCUGAUCCCAGGAGUUUAAGGCUUCAGUGAGCCAUGAUAAUGCCACCGCACUCCAGCCUGGGCAACAGAAUGAAACCCUGUCUCAAAAACAGAAAUAAACAAACAAAAAAGGAAACUAGAAAGUAACUAACACUGAACUGAAUGUGGAGUUCCCCUUGCCCCUUCCAUUCUUCAUCCUUCUCUGGAGUCCAUGCUUAGUUAACAACCAACUUCAUAUGCAUACCUAGGGGACCAGAAUGCAGAGUCCUGACUCACUGUCUGAGGUCACUAAACAGCUAUUUUGAGAACAUCUGGAGCCUUGCCUUUCCAUUUUCAGAAGGAAUAUUGUAAACCCAAGAACCCUUAGUGGAGGCCAGGGCCCACAUGCUGGGCAAACUGGCUUGAGUGCUCCUGGGCUUCAGUCAGGUCCUGGAAUGUCAAGCCCACUCCUUUCUGUCACCUAGCGCAUCCCCAGGAGAACGGCCAGUUACCCAACUCUCACACUCUUCCCGUUAGGUCAUCCCUCAUGACCAAGAAGUACCUGAAGAAAAGACUUCAUUGUCUACUGGGUGUUUCCAACUCCUUACUCAGACAUCAUUGGAGGAUCGUGGGUUUGAACCGGUGGUCCACGACACCCACAGGGGCUGACGCCCACAGUGGAUGUGUUGUUGUCCUAUCUCAGGCUUUGAGUGCCUUGAGGACAUGGAUCACUCAUCUCCAUACCCCACAAAUGGGCAGGAAAUAAUUGAGGAAGGAGGAAUGAAGACAGGACAUCCCACUCAUCAGACAUUUGUUAUAGUCCAGGCACCGAACUGAGCACAGGAACAAAACGAUGCAUUAGACACAGACCUUACCUAGUUCCCGAGACAGGAAUGGGAGAUAUGCAUGAUAAAGGUAUGCAAAAUGCAGAAAGACAACAAACACCUACAAGAGCAGGGAUAAGGUUCCCAGGACAGGCGACAUUUGAGGUGGGUUUUGACAGAUCACCAGGUAGAACUCAGGUAAGGGGAGGAAUAGAAAUUAAACACAGUGUGGAAGAAAAGAAAGAGGCUGUGGAUUCAAAUCCUAGCUCUGCCUUUUUGGGCAACUGAGGUCUUUCAAAGGAGAUUGCUAAUACCACUCUCACACCAGCUGCUGUAAGCAUGCAGUACGAUAAUACACACUCUGGGCAUAUCAUAAUAAAAGCUCUUUAUUGAGUUCUUACUGGCUUGUGCCAGAAAAGUCAUAUAAUUUCUCAUUUAUUACUUACAACACCAAGUAUUUGUCCUAUAGGAUCUUAUAAAUUAAUUCAUUUUUCAUGGGAGGAAACCGAGGCACGGAGAUGGGCUAAUUUGGUAGAAAUAGUACUUUAGCCAGGC